ACGAGAAAGUCUCCGCAAGGGGAUGAGUAAAGUGGCGACCGGGUGAGUAACACGUAGCUAACCUACCCUCAAGUGGGGGAUAACCUGGGGAAACCUGGGCUAAUACCGCAUAACAUCCCGAUGACGGCAGUCAUGGGGAGCAAAGGCCCGCAAGGGCCGCUGGAGGAGGGGGCUGCGGCCGAUUAGCUAGUUGGUGAGGUAAUGGCCCACCAAGGCGAUGAUCGGUAGCCGGCCUGAGAGGGCGCACGGCCACACUGGCACUGAAACACGGGCCAGACUCCUACGGGAGGCAGCAGUGGGGAAUUUUGCACAAUGCCCGAAAGGGUGAUGCAGCAACGCCGCGUGAGGGAUGAAGGCCUUCGGG
RNAcentral lists this ribosomal RNA (364 nucleotides) under uncultured bacterium. RNAcentral's name for it is "bacterial SSU rRNA". It matches the Rfam family "Bacterial small subunit ribosomal RNA", at positions 66 to 422 of the family's 1533-position model. The record is from RNAcentral.